RNAcentral lists this ribosomal RNA (492 nucleotides) under uncultured bacterium. Its description in RNAcentral is "partial 16S ribosomal RNA". It matches the Rfam family "Bacterial small subunit ribosomal RNA", at positions 28 to 507 of the family's 1533-position model. The record is from RNAcentral.
GAUGAACGCUGGCGGUAGGCCUAACACAUGCAAGUCGAACGGCAGCACAGUAAGAGCUUGCUCUUACGGGUGGCGAGUGGCGGACGGGUGAGGAAUACAUCGGAAUCUACUUUUUCGUGGGGGAUAACGUAGGGAAACUUACGCUAAUACCGCAUACGACCUACGGGUGAAAGCAGGGGAUCUUCGGACCUUGCGCGAUUGACUGAGCCGAUGUCGGAUUAGCUAGUUGGCGGGGUAAAGGCCCACCAAGGCGACGAUCCGUAGCUGGUCUGAGAGGAUGAUCAGCCACACUGGAACUGAGACACGGUCCAGACUCCUACGGGAGGCAGCAGUGGGGAAUAUUGGACAAUGGGCGCAAGCCUGAUCCAGCCAUACCGCGUGGGUGAAGAAGGCCUUCGGGUUGUAAAGCCCUUUUGUUGGGAAAGAAAAGCAGCAGGUUAAUACCCCGCUGUUCUGACGGUACCCAAAGAAUAAGCACCGGCUAACUUCGUG